Molecule: long non-coding RNA, 1389 nt
Organism: Oreochromis aureus
Lineage: Eukaryota; Metazoa; Chordata; Actinopteri; Cichliformes; Cichlidae
Source: Ensembl
GUAUUACUGUGGUAAUGUGGAAAAGAUAAAGAACUGAAGCUAUAGCUGUGAUACGAGAGAAGAAACGGAGCUGGCUGUGUGCAAUAAUGUUAAUAUUGUUGUGCAGGCUAGGUUUUUUUCCCUUGUUCGUGUGGAAGGAACUAAGAUUCUGGAUUACGAUGGAUUCUCUCCGGAUGGAGAUGGCGAGCCUGAGCCCGGACUGAACGUUGCAGAGGAACUUACUCUUCUUCCUCGACGGAGACUCCCAAGUGUAGAGCGGGACAUUUGAUUUACUCUCAGCGGAAUUGACCGGAGAAGGCAUCAGUUCAUGCACUGCACUGGCCCGCACCACGAUUAGUAUAAGGCACAUUUCACGAAGCAGAACGCAGUCUCCAGAGAUAUCCACGUGAACGCUGUGAUACGUCUGACCUUCAGUCCGAAGAAGAAACCCAGACCAGUCUUAAAAGAAAGCACAAACCAAAUCCCCUGUACACAUAUACGGACUCAGAGGAUGAGCAGCCUACAAAAAAACGGUUUCCCCAGGCCCCUCGAGUGAAAAUACCAGCCCUCAUCACUCCGCAGUCUGCCCCCCAGCCCACUGAUCAUAAUGCCCCACCCAGCUUCCGGCACCUUUCGCCACUCCGGCACAAACCGACACAGCUUUGCGAUCUCGCCAGCAUGCAGAGUCUGAUGUCUUCCCUAUAGAUGAUUCCAGAGACUCUGUGAGGCCACUAUUACAAGGUGAGACUCUUUGCGUUGAUUGGUGCUGCUGGACCACACUGGAGGUGCGAGUCCGCCGUGUAAUGGUUUAUGCCAUUACAAAGGAGCUGGCCUCUGUACUCAACUGGGCAGGGGAAAAAAACCAAGGACCAGACAAAGCAAAAAAGGGCAUUUAAAGAGACAGCGCUGUGCAGAUGCAUAUUUGAUGGCCUGGCGCAGCAGGUAGGGGCGAACUCUAUGUCUGAGUUGGUCUUUCCUCAAGCAGUCCAGAAAUGGCUCAGAUAUGCUCCAGAUCGUACGGGUGGCGCGCAGGACGCACAUCAUCCAUCCCCAUCCCCGAGUAAAUAAUAAAAAGUGACGUGAAACAUAGAAAUGUAAAUAGGAAACUUUGUCUUUUAAUAAAGUAUUUUGCAAAUGAUACAUGUCUAUUGACCUUUUUUGUUUUUUUGUUUUUUUUCAAUAAAAAGCAACUGUGCGAAAGAGGUGGAAAAUCAAUACCAUAGCUCAACAGUGUUUCAAUAUCAGAAUCUGACAUUGUUUCAAUGUCAACAGUGUUAGAAAAUAUAACGUCGAAUCAACGUCAGGUUUCAACAUUGAUUCAACAUCAAAACCUGACGUUGUUUCAACGUUAAAAAUGGGUGCAAGAGUGACGUUGGGUCAACGUCACACUUCAACGUUGCUUCAAUGACG